GCCAAUGAAGAGCCCCGAGGGGUGGGGCGGGGUCCGGUCCUUGCCAAUCAGAGCCUUCCAUGUGCGGCUUCCUGCGGCCGGAGCGUGGCUACCUCUGAUUGGUCAUUGGUAGGAGGAGUCAGCCAAUCAUUUUUAAUAGCUAGCUUAAUCUGCCUGUCUUUUAUUAAUUUUUUAAAUUAAAUACUCGGAAAUGUUCGACUCCGCGGCUAUGUGACUCCCGCACGAAUGAGAGCUGGGUCUAAAGCGAUAAAAGUCUCCACAUGAGCGGAUCAAUCCAAAGCAUUUCCGGGGCGCCCAGAAUGUUUGCCCUAGAGACAGUUACUACGGCAACGUUUACUUCCGGCAGGAAUGAAAGGCUGUGUGGCAGAUGCUUUGUGCUUACUAGGUGCUUCUUCUUGUGGGCUUGCUGACAAUGAGAUCCUGCACAUUUUGAACAUUCUGGGCUGUGCAGAUGAAUGUAAAGUAGAAACUCCCUGUCACUGUGCAGCAUUUCGUAAUUCUACCACAAAGUAGAUCCAGGAGAAACCUGAUGGCCUAUUGCACUUUAGUCACAGGCCGUGGCAAGAAGCCAGAGAGCAUCAGCUGCUUGAGAGUUGUAAUAAUGUACUAACUAGAAUCCCUUAUCACAAUACCAACCUAAAGGAGAACAGAAGAGCAAAAGGUGAGAGUUUCCUUUGUCUGCUUCUUUUGGUGAAGGCCAUAUCCGGUCUUCAUGUGUAACAAGAGGAACUUGUGAGUCCCUAGGAUGUCAGAAUGCUCCUACAAGGAAGAUGGAAAACGUUUACUUAAUAAGAAGAACUGCAAACUUUUCGGCAGCCACGGCUUGAGAGUGAUGCGUCUCAAAAGCGAAACCUGACUGGGGAGGACACAGCAAGAGUCCACCCACUGAUGUAGGCCUUCACAUCAAAGGUGGAUUUUUUUUCUUUUGGUGUUCUGUUUUUACAUAGGGAAAAUAAUGUGCAUGGUCACUUUAAGAGAGGGAAUUCUGGGAGUGAACUUUGUAUCUUGAAACCUCAUAGGCUAUAUCUACACUACCGCAGUAAGUCGACCUAUGCUAUGCAACUCCAGCUACAUGAAUAACGUAGUCAACGUACCGUAGGUUGAGUUAUCGCGGGGUCUACAUGUGGGGGGUCACUUAUCUUACUCUUCUCGUCGGGGGUAGAGUACGGGGGUCGACUGGAGAGUCAUCUGCUGUUGAUUUGGUGGGUAAUCACCAGAUCUGCUAAAUCGACUGCCGGUAGAUCGAUCUCAGAGUGUUGAUCCCAGCUGUAGUGUAGAUGUAGCCUUAAACUUGCAUGAGAAAUUCACUGAAGCUCAGAGGGUCAGGAAGAAGAGACAUCUGGAGAGGGCUCAUAACUCCAGGUCAUGCUGAGUGUCAAAAGUCAUCUGGUAUUGUAUCUGAACAAGCUUGAUUUCAAUGUUUUAUUAGAGGGGACUAUGUUUCUUUUUCUUUGU
Molecule: long non-coding RNA, 1455 nt
Organism: Caretta caretta (loggerhead turtle)
Lineage: Eukaryota; Metazoa; Chordata; Testudines; Cheloniidae
Source: RefSeq, a predicted model, not a curated record